GCAGUGGUGGUUCAGCGGUAGAAUUUUCGCCUUCCAUGCAGGAGACCCAGGUUUGAUUCUCGGCAAAUGCA
This 71-nucleotide transfer RNA is filed under the name Loxodonta africana (African savanna elephant). It matches the Rfam family "tRNA". Rfam says of the family: Transfer RNA (tRNA) molecules are approximately 80 nucleotides in length. Their secondary structure includes four short double-helical elements and three loops (D, anti-codon, and T loops). The record is from Rfam by way of RNAcentral. Lineage: Eukaryota; Metazoa; Chordata; Mammalia; Proboscidea; Elephantidae.